This 1455-nucleotide ribosomal RNA is filed under the name Bacillus subtilis. RNAcentral's name for it is "bacterial SSU rRNA". It matches the Rfam family "Bacterial small subunit ribosomal RNA". Lineage: Bacteria; Bacillati; Bacillota; Bacilli; Caryophanales; Bacillaceae. The record is from RNAcentral.
UCGGGGGUCCUAUCAUGCAGUCGAGCGGACAGAUGGGAGCUUGCUCCCUGAUGUUAGCGGCGGACGGGUGAGUAACACGUGGGUAACCUGCCUGUAAGACUGGGAUAACUCCGGGAAACCGGGGCUAAUACCGGAUGGUUGUUUGAACCGCAUGGUUCAAACAUAAAAGGUGGCUUCGGCUACCACUUACAGAUGGACCCGCGGCGCAUUAGCUAGUUGGUGAGGUAACGGCUCACCAAGGCAACGAUGCGUAGCCGACCUGAGAGGGUAACCUCGGCGACCCUCAGUAUUCUUCUGUCCCCUGAUUCGCGACCGCGAGUGCAGUCUAGUAUGGACUCUGCGAAAUGUGUCGCAAGUAUGAUCGAAGCAAUCGCCGCGUGUAGUGAUGAAUUGUUCUCAGAAUCGUUAAAUGCUCUGAUGUAGGGAAGACAAGUACCGUUCGAAUAGGGCGGUACCUUUGACGGUACCUAACAGAAAGCCACGGCUAACUACGUGCCAGCAGCGCGGUAAUACGUAGGUGGCAAGCGUUGUCCGGAAUUAUUGGCGUAAAGGGCUCGCAGGCGGUUUCUUAAGUCUGAUGUGAAAGCCCCCGGCUCAACCGCGGAGGGUCAUUGGAAACUGGGGAACUUGAGUGCAGAAGAGGAGAGUGGAAUUCCACGUGUAGCGGUGAAAUGCGUAGAGAUGUGGAGGAACACCAGUGGCGAAGGCGACUCUCUGGUCUGUAACUGACGCUGAGGAGCGAAAGCGUGGGGAGCGAACAGGAUUAGAUACCCUGGUAGUCCACGCCGUAAACGAUGAGUGCUAAGUGUUAGGGGGUUUCCGCCCCUUAGUGCUGCAGCUAACGCAUUAAGCACUCCGCCUGGGGAGUACGGUCGCAAGACUGAAACUCAAAGGAAUUGACGGGGGCCCGCACAAGCGGUGGAGCAUGUGGUUUAAUUUGAAGCAACGCGAAGAACCUUACCAGGUCUUGACAUCCUCUGACAAUCCUAGAGAUAGGACGUCCCCUUCGGGGGCAGAGUGACAGGUGGUGCAUGGUUGUCGUCAGCUCGUGUCGUGAGAUGUUGGGUUAAGUCCCGCAACGAGCGCAACCCUUGAUCUUAGUUGCCAGCAUUCAGUUGGGCACUCUAAGGUGACUGCCGGUGACAAACCGGAGGAAGGUGGGGAUGACGUCAAAUCAUCAUGCCCCUUAUGACCUGGGCUACACACGUGCUACAAUGGACAGAACAAAGGGCAGCGAAACCGCGAGGUUAAGCCAAUCCCACAAAUCUGUUCUCAGUUCGGAUCGCAGUCUGCAACUCGACUGCGUGAAGCUGGAAUCGCUAGUAAUCGCGGAUCAGCAUGCCGCGGUGAAUACGUUCCCGGGCCUUGUACACACCGCCCGUCACACCACGAGAGUUUGUAACACCCGAAGUCGGUGAGGUAACCUUUUAGGAGCCAGCCGCCGAAGUGGAUCAG